This 484-nucleotide ribosomal RNA is filed under the name uncultured bacterium. RNAcentral's name for it is "partial 16S ribosomal RNA". It matches the Rfam family "Bacterial small subunit ribosomal RNA", at positions 30 to 507 of the family's 1533-position model. The record is from RNAcentral.
AUUGAACGCUGGCGGCAGGCCUAACACAUGCAAGUCGAGCGGAUGAAGGGAGCUUGCUCCUGGAUUCAGCGGCGGACGGGUGAGUAAUGCCUAGGAAUCUGCCUGGUAGUGGGGGAUAACGUCCGGAAACGGGCGCUAAUACCGCAUACGUCCUGAGGGAGAAAGUGGGGGAUCUUCGGACCUCACGCUUUCUGCUGAGCCUAGGUCGGAUUAGCUAGUUGGUGGGGUAAAGGCCUACCAAGGCGACGAUCCGUAACUGGUCUGAGAGGAUGAUCAGUCACACUGGAACUGAGACACGGUCCAGACUCCUACGGGAGGCAGCAGUGGGGAAUAUUGGACAAUGGGCGAAAGCCUGAUCCAGCCAUGCCGCGUGUGUGAAGAAGGUCUUCGGAUUGUAAAGCACUUUAAGUUGGGAGGAAGGGCAGUAAGUUAAUACCUUGCUGUUUUGACGUUACCAACAGAAUAAGCACCGGCUAACUUCGUG